Molecule: ribosomal RNA, 732 nt
Filed under: uncultured Acidobacteriota bacterium
Lineage: Bacteria; Pseudomonadati; Acidobacteriota
Description: bacterial SSU rRNA
Rfam family: Bacterial small subunit ribosomal RNA
Source: RNAcentral
GUCGAACGCGCAGCACUCUGUAGCAAUACAGGAUGUGGGCGCGUGGCGAACGGGUGCGUAACACGUGGAUAACCUUCCUUCAGGUGGGGAAUAACCCAGUGAAAAUUGGGCUAAUACCGCAUAACAUGACGAUGGCACAUGCUGUUGUCUUCAAAGGCGCAAGUCGCCAGAAGAGGGAUCCGCGGCCGAUUAGCUUGUUGGCGAGGUAAUGGCUCACCAAGGCUUUGAUCGGUAGCCGGACUGAGAGGUUGGCCGGCCACACUGGAACUGAGACACGGUCCAGACUCCUACGGGAGGCAGCAGUGGGGAAUCUUGCACAAUGGACGAAAGUCUGAUGCAGCAACGCCGCGUGGGGGAUGAAGCUUCUCGGAGUGUAAACCCCUUUCGACCCGGAAGAAUGCCCGCAAGGGCUUGACGGUACGGGUAUAAGAAGCCCCGGCUAACUACGUGCCAGCAGCCGCGGUAAUACGUAGGGGGCCAGCGUUGCUCGGAAUUACUGGGCGUAAAGGGUCCGUAGGCGGUGUGGCAAGUCGGAAGUGAAAUCUCUGGGCUUAACCCAGAGGCUGCUUCCGAAACUGCCGUGCUAGAGUGUGAGAGAGGCGAGUGGAAUUACGGGUGUAGCGGUGAAAUGCGUAGAUAUCCGUAGGAACAUCCGAGGCGAAAGCGGCUCGCUGGAUCACAACUGACGCUGAGGGACGAAAGCUAGGGGAGCAAACAGGAUUAGAUACCCUG